CUCCAGCAGACCCUCCCUCCCAGACCCUCCUACUUCCUGGACAGCAUCCGGGUUGAAACAUGGAUGCUGUCCAGGAAGUAGGAGGGUCUGGGAGGGAGGGUCUGCUGGAG
Molecule: non-coding RNA, 110 nt
Organism: Pelobates cultripes (western spadefoot toad)
Lineage: Eukaryota; Metazoa; Chordata; Amphibia; Anura; Pelobatidae
Source: the annotation of a GenBank genome assembly